Molecule: transfer RNA, 72 nt
Filed under: Sphaerodactylus townsendi
Lineage: Eukaryota; Metazoa; Chordata; Lepidosauria; Squamata; Sphaerodactylidae
Description: tRNA-Ala
Rfam family: tRNA
About the family: Transfer RNA (tRNA) molecules are approximately 80 nucleotides in length. Their secondary structure includes four short double-helical elements and three loops (D, anti-codon, and T loops). Further hydrogen bonds mediate the characteristic L-shaped molecular structure. tRNAs have two regions of fundamental functional importance: the anti-codon, which is responsible for specific mRNA codon recognition, and the 3' end, to which the tRNAs corresponding amino acid is attached (by aminoacyl-tRNA synthetases). tRNAs cope with the degeneracy of the genetic code in two manners: having more than one tRNA (with a specific anti-codon) for a particular amino acid; and 'wobble' base-pairing, i.e. permitting non-standard base-pairing at the 3rd anti-codon position.
Source: RNAcentral
GGAGCUGUGGCUUAAAGGUAGAGUACCUGCUUUGCAUUCAGAAGUUCCCAGGUUCAGUCCCUGGCAUCUUCA